RNAcentral lists this ribosomal RNA (254 nucleotides) under uncultured bacterium. RNAcentral describes it as "partial 16S ribosomal RNA". It matches the Rfam family "Bacterial small subunit ribosomal RNA", at positions 524 to 776 of the family's 1533-position model. The record is from RNAcentral.
CACGUAGGGUGCGAGCGUUGCCCGGAAUUAUUGGGCGUAAAGAGCUCGUAGGCGGUGUGUCGCGUCGGCCGUGAAAACCUGCAGCUUAACUGUGGGCUUGCGGUCGAUACGGGCAUCACUGGAGUUCGGCAGGGGAGACUGGAAUUCCUGGUGUAGCGGUGAAAUGCGCAGAUAUCGGGAGGAACACCAGCGGCGAAGGCGGCACUCUGGGCUGGAACUGACGCUGAGGAGCGAAAGCGUGGGUAGCAAACAGG